UACGAAGGGGGCUAGCGUUGCUCGGAAUUACUGGGCGUAAAGCGCACGUAGGCGGCUUUCUAAGUCGGGGGUGAAAUCCUGGAGCUCAACUCCAGAACUGCCUUCGAUACUGGAGAGCUCGAGUCCGGGAGAGGUGAGUGGAACUGCGAGUGUAGAGGUGAAAUUCGUAGAUAUUCGCAAGAACACCAGUGGCGAAGGCGGCUCACUGGCCCGGUACUGACGCUGCGGUGCGAAAGCGUGGGGAGCAAACAGG
This 253-nucleotide ribosomal RNA is filed under the name uncultured bacterium. RNAcentral describes it as "partial 16S ribosomal RNA". It matches the Rfam family "Bacterial small subunit ribosomal RNA", at positions 524 to 776 of the family's 1533-position model. The record is from RNAcentral.